Colletotrichum gloeosporioides Cg-14 is the source of this 72-nucleotide transfer RNA. It matches the Rfam family "tRNA". Rfam says of the family: Transfer RNA (tRNA) molecules are approximately 80 nucleotides in length. Their secondary structure includes four short double-helical elements and three loops (D, anti-codon, and T loops). NCBI's taxonomy places the organism in Eukaryota, Fungi, Ascomycota, Sordariomycetes, Glomerellales, Glomerellaceae. The record is from Rfam.
UCCUCGAUAGUCUAGUGGUGAGGAUAUCGGCUUGUCACGCCGGCGACCGGGGUUCAAUUCCCCGUCGAGGAG